AAAUUUCAUCACUAAAUUUUGAUUUUUUCGUAAGGCCGCCUUAUUUUACCUCCAAACUUCCCCAAAAUAACCUGUAAAUCCUUAGGUCAAUUGAACAGCAAAAUAACCUGUACCGGAGUGCUUCCCAUCAUCUUCGUUGCCAUCAGUCAAUUAAAUGGUUGGUAUAAUAUAUCCUAGUAAAUUCCGGAUGAAGCUAAUGGACCAGCAGAAAAAAGAUGGAGUUUCAUAAAGUAAUUCUACAAGAAUUUUCUACUAAACUUGAAGAUGCAGAGUCAUGAACAACAUUUUGUUAGCUUUAAAUUCUGAUGAGGAAGGUAUGCCUUUUAAGUAUUUUCUGCAAGAUUUUAGUAAUCUUUUACUUUUUGAACAUGGAUUGGAACUCUAGAAAUUUUGUAAGUAGUUUGUUUCAUGUUUGGUGACGUACAGGGAGUGUUUUGGAGAUAAAGUUAAACUGUAGUAUUUAGUUUUGAGUGUUUGAAGAAACUUGUUAUUGCUUUCUUUGGUUCAUUAUGUGUAAGAAGAUUGUUUUUUGUAAUAUAUCAUUUGUUUUAUCUAGUUUAAUGUAAAAUGAUCUGGUAUGUAAUUUGCUUUAAUAGCAAAAUUAUUUGGAAAAGUGCAUCUAAACACCCAAACCUAGUUUUGGCCUUUAUGGACAGAUGUCACCUUCAUCUUUUGGUAAAGUAUAAAUUUAAUUCAAUGAUGUCCAUUUUUUGCAAGCCAAAUAUAAAUGUGUAAUCAAUACUUUACUUGGGCUCAAAUAUAAAUUGAAUUUUAAAAACAAUAAUGAUGGUGCCAUGCUAGAGUAAGCUUUUGGAUUAUGAUUAUGGAUUUGGGGACUUUAAACUGUAGUUUCCAGCAUGUAUAGUUACAAUAUUAUCCCUAUUUUAGGGAUGAGAAAUACAUAAAAACAAUAUAAUAUACAUUUUCCUAAUAUAUGUAUAUUUAGUAUAUGUUCCUGCAGUCAAGUUUUGAACUUUGAAGUAGUCAUCGACCAGUCCACUUUCAAAUAGGUCAAUUUCAAAUGGGUUUGAAGUCUCCUAAUGAAUGCAUAGGAUCUUCUAUCUAGUCUAGUUCUAUUCAAAGAUUUUGAUUGUUACUGUGACGAUUUUGUUUUUUGUUGUAUUAACUAAUGCAUUGCCUAUUUAUACAAACCUUAACAAAAUAGACAAGAAAGUGCUUGUGAUCAACCAAAACCGACAUGUUUAAAACAACUGUGCUGAAAUGUUCAGAUGAACUUUUGUUCCUAAAGGUCUAACUUAAAGGUUUGCUUGUCUUAUAGUUGCCCAAUAUUAAUAGUUUCAUGAGACGUUGAAUGAGGUGAUUGAUUUUUAUGUAAGAGUGGAAUUAGGUCAGUCACUUUCGUUUUCUAUCAGAUUGUAUUUGUUUAUUCGUUCGGGUUUAACCUAGAUCUUGUGUGUCGUGCGCUUUAAUCUAGAAAAUAAGAAGACAAGAUGCUAUUUCUAGCCGAUUUGCUUUACCAAAAGAGAAGGAUCACUGGAGGUAAAGUUUAUAUUAUCAUAAUCAUAUGAAUGAUUUUUAUUUGAUUAUAAUUUCUGACUUUGAAACUGUCAUGUCUCCAUAUGGUGACUAGUUAACAUGAUCCCUUGCAUUUGAUGAUUUUUUAAGUACUAACUACAAUAAAAUAUUUACAUGGGCUAGCUGACAAGAUCCCUUAGAUCAUGCAUAGUCAAUCGUUUUUUGGGUGCGUUUUCAAAAUCAACGCCCUAUCACGCCACCACCUCCGCCACCCCCAUGGGCGUUUUUCAACCCAAAAUUGCCCAGAGCGUUUUAAAUACAACGCCGGAGAGAAAGUUGUUUGGCCAAUUAGUUGUUUCCAUGCUCCAUUUGUCCAAUUACAUUUUUUAUGUUUUUUUUAUUUAAUUCUAUUACACCACAACGCCCACAUCCCCACUACACUCAUGCUGGUUCUGUUUCAUUUUAAUCACUAAAAAGAAAAGAAAAGGUUGCUUAAGUGUGCUUGAACUAGUGUUCCUGAACUUUACAAUAUCACAUUAUUACUUUCGAAAAGACAUAGGUAGGCUAGAGGCCUUGACACAUACUUUAUCCCAAAAAGUAAAACCAUAUCAGCUUUUUUAACCAGAGAAGUCAAAACCAAAUAUUACAGUAACUUCAGAUGGACCGUGUUAAUUUUUACCUUCUGGACUUGCACUAACUACUUUCUUAAAAGAUAUGUUUAUGUUAAACUUGUGAUAAGACCAUAUGGUUUAUUUUCUACAAUUCAAGAUUGUAUUGGUGCAUCUAUCGUAUGGCCUGAUCCAUUCAUCUCGGUAGUCCAUGAGGAUUGAGGACGCAUGAUGACUCAAGAUUUU
Molecule: long non-coding RNA, 2330 nt
Organism: Helianthus annuus (common sunflower)
Lineage: Eukaryota; Viridiplantae; Streptophyta; Magnoliopsida; Asterales; Asteraceae
Exons: 3
Source: RefSeq, a predicted model, not a curated record